UAAAGGUAUUCCGGUAGACGAUGGGGAUGCGUUCCAUUAGAUAGUAGGCGGGGUAACGGCCCACCUAGUCUUCGAUGGAUAGGGGUUCUGAGAGGAAGGUCCCCCACAUUGGAACUGAGACACGGUCCAAACUCCUACGGGAGGCAGCAGUGAGGAAUAUUGGUCAAUGGGCGAGAGCCUGAACCAGCCAAGUAGCGUGAAGGAUGACUGCCCUAUGGGUUGUAAACUUCUUUUAUAAAGGAAUAAAGUCGGGUAUGCAUACCCGUUUGCAUGUACUUUAUGAAUAAGGAUCGGCUAACUCCGUGCCAGCAGCCGCGGUAAUACGGAGGAUCCGAGCGUUAUCCGGAUUUAUUGGGUUUAAAGGGAGCGUAGAUGGAUGUUUAAGUCAGUUGUGAAAGUUUGCGGCUCAACCGUAAAAUUGCAGUUGAUACUGGAUAUCUUGAGUGCAGUUGAGGCAGGCGGAAUUCGUGGUGUAGCGGUGAAAUGCUUAGAUAUCACGAGGAACUCCGAUUGCGAAGGCAGCCUGCUAAGCUGCAACUGACAUUGAGGCUCGAAAGUGUGGGUAUCAAACAGGAUUAGAUACCCUGGUAGUCCACACGGUAAACGAUGAAUACUCGCUGUUUGCGAUAUACGGCAAGCGGCCA
RNAcentral lists this ribosomal RNA (644 nucleotides) under uncultured bacterium. Its description in RNAcentral is "bacterial SSU rRNA". It matches the Rfam family "Bacterial small subunit ribosomal RNA", at positions 202 to 849 of the family's 1533-position model. The record is from RNAcentral.